UGUACCGCCGCCAUCUUGGAACAGGGUUCUAAUCAGGUAUCUGUUCAUUUACCAUUAUGGCCACGCCAGUCGGUGAUCACUUUGUAAAGUUGAAGGAUAUUUGUGCCGCUAUGCUUGCAGCAACGAGAGGACGAAAAACAGCCAAAGAAGGUGUAACAUGAGAUGGCCCAAAAGAAGGAGGAGGCGGGCAUGGGCUCUGGCUUUGAAGAGAGAGAGAGAGGUUUGUGCCAAAACAACGCUGAUCUGAUGCUGCCACUUACCUCCUGAGCAAACUGUUCGGCUGAGAGAGCCAUCAAUUUCAACUUCAACUUCCCCAAACACUUGUCCAAGCAGUUGGAGAACAGGCUGUGAACUGCUGAUAUCCUGCGUCCUUCAGCACAGUGAGCGCCAGUGCCACAGAUCAACGCAAUGUUUGAGCUGCCACAGACACCUUCAUCUUCUGGCCAUCGAAGUCAACAUGCCUUCUGAUCACCUUGUUUUUGCUGCAUGAAGACCCUCAGGAUCCUGAACAUUAUUCAGAUCAACAAUGUGUUGCCAUUUAACUGUUCCAAAGGGACUGAUGAUAGGACCGUAAGCCUUGAGCAUAUUUCUAGCUAAUUUCCUGAUCAGGUAGAUAUCUUCCCCUGAGGAAAGGUGGGUAAAUGAGGUCUUCAGAGGCUGUUCUUCUGGAUUUUACCAGAUAUGUUUCGACGGUAGGGUCACAGGGAUGUUGAUGUGUCAUGUGCUUUGAAAUGAGCUGAUGUUGUUAUGGAGGUGUG
Long non-coding RNA from Engraulis encrasicolus (European anchovy), 758 nucleotides. RefSeq lists it as uncharacterized. The record is from RefSeq and is a predicted model, not a curated record. The transcript is spliced from 3 exons. NCBI's taxonomy places the organism in Eukaryota, Metazoa, Chordata, Actinopteri, Clupeiformes, Engraulidae.